UUUCUCUCUUGGACAUCGGAUAAAAUUGAAACGAUACAGAGAAGAUUAAAAUGGCCCCAUCGCAAGGAAGACACGUACAAAUCGAACAAUGGUAAAAAAAAUUU
This is a small nuclear RNA of Lactuca sativa (garden lettuce), 104 nucleotides long. The record is from RefSeq and is a predicted model, not a curated record. Lineage: Eukaryota; Viridiplantae; Streptophyta; Magnoliopsida; Asterales; Asteraceae.